Molecule: long non-coding RNA, 730 nt
Filed under: Ananas comosus (pineapple)
Lineage: Eukaryota; Viridiplantae; Streptophyta; Magnoliopsida; Poales; Bromeliaceae
Description: long non-coding RNA (ACOM_LNC023158)
Source: RNAcentral
UAGAAAAUAAAUUUUAUGAUUUUACGAUAUCAUUUGCCUAGUGAACGAAGGGGCUCAAAAUCAACGGCUGAAAAUAAAAAUCUUACAAAAUGUAAUAAUAUGACAUUGAAAUUUUAAAUCAAAGAUAUUGAUCUUGUUUUAUAUAGUAUAAAGAAUUUUCUAUCAAAAUUUCACGUGAUUUGAAUAUUUCUACACCGUUAAACUUGCAAACGACUCACUACGGCCAUUGAAAUUUGUUGAUUUUGAGCCCAUUUGAUCACUAGGCAAAUGAUAUCGAAAAAUAAUAAAAUUUAUUUUCUAGGUACUCCAAAUACUCUAAAUCAAGUUUAACGGAGCCGAUCGAUAAUUCGAAAGUCGCAACAUCGAAAACGAGCUGGAAGCACGGAAGGCUCCGUGCUUCCGAUAGCAUAGUAGUCUCACUCUAUAUAUAUAUAUAUAGUCCGACUGUUAUGAUAUUAAUAGCACCAAUUAAGCACCUGGUGCUACCAAGUUUUUUCGUCGUUAGAUUUACUCCUUUAAACCAUUUCCAUCCAUUAGAUCAUAUUAUUAAACCAACCAUCCACUCAACUCUAAAAGAUCACUAUCAUCCUAACUACACAUCUCUUAAUCUAAGGGCCAACCUAAUAACAGUAAUGACUUACUAUUAUUAAUAGCAUUAUAGCCGAAUUCUCUCUCUCUCUCUCUCUCUCUCUCUCUCUCUCUCUCUCUCUAUAUAUAUAUAUAUAUAUAU